AUUCUCAGGGCGGGGCGGAAUUCCCCACCGGUGGUAAGCGAAAGUAAGCCCACGAGCGUUCGUAUUUUUACGAAGUCAGCAGAUUUGGUGAAAAUCCAAAGCCGACAGUUAUAGUCUGGAUGGUAGAGAAU
Molecule: non-coding RNA, 131 nt
Filed under: Megamonas hypermegale
Lineage: Bacteria; Bacillati; Bacillota; Negativicutes; Selenomonadales; Selenomonadaceae
Description: FMN riboswitch (RFN element)
Rfam family: FMN riboswitch aptamer (RFN element)
About the family: The RFN element is a highly conserved domain that is found frequently in the 5'-untranslated regions of prokaryotic mRNAs that encode for flavin mononucleotide (FMN) biosynthesis and transport proteins. This element is a metabolite-dependent riboswitch that directly binds FMN in the absence of proteins.
Source: RNAcentral